GAUGAACGCUGGCGGCGUGCUUUAUACAUGCAAGUCGAGCGAACAGACGAGGAGCUUGCUCCUCUGACGUUAGCGGCGGACGGGUGAGUAACACGUGGAUAACCUACCUAUAAGACUGGGAUAACUUCGGGAAACCGGAGCUAAUACCGGAUAAUAUAUUGAACCGCAUGGUUCAAUAGUGAAAGACGGUUUUGCUGUCACUUAUAGAUGGAUCCGCGCCGCAUUAGCUAGUUGGUAAGGUAACGGCUUACCAAGGCGACGAUGCGUAGCCGACCUGAGAGGGUGAUCGGCCACACUGGAACUGAGACACGGUCCAGACUCCUACGGGAGGCAGCAGUAGGGAAUCUUCCGCAAUGGGCGAAAGCCUGACGGAGCAACGCCGCGUGAGUGAUGAAGGUCUUCGGAUCGUAAAACUCUGUUAUUAGGGAAGAACAAAUGUGUAAGUAACUAUGCACGUCUUGACGGUACCUAAUCAGAAAGCCACGGCUAACUACGUG
RNAcentral lists this ribosomal RNA (497 nucleotides) under uncultured bacterium. Its description in RNAcentral is "partial 16S ribosomal RNA". It matches the Rfam family "Bacterial small subunit ribosomal RNA", at positions 28 to 507 of the family's 1533-position model. The record is from RNAcentral.